CGAUACGUUUUCUAGGGUUCCGCGGUCAGGAGGCUGGCCGGACUGGACCGAGAGAAAACGCACGGCUGCGGCCGUGUACACGGAGGGAUAAAAGCCCGGGAGAA
RNAcentral lists this small RNA (104 nucleotides) under Brevibacillus sp. RNAcentral's name for it is "Guanidine-I sequence". It matches the Rfam family "Guanidine-I riboswitch aptamer". Rfam says of the family: This family represents a conserved RNA structure found upstream of the ykkC and yxkD genes in Bacillus subtilis and related genes in other bacteria. The record is from RNAcentral. Lineage: Bacteria; Bacillati; Bacillota; Bacilli; Caryophanales; Paenibacillaceae.